CUCGACUGCAUGAAGCUGGAAUCGCCAGUAAUCGCGAAUCAGCAUGUCGCGGUGAAUACGUUCCCGGGUCUUGUACACACCGCCCGUCACACCAUGGGAGUCGGAAAUGCCCGAAGCCAGUGACCUAACCGGAAGGAGGGAGCUGCCGAAGGCAGGUUCGAUGACUGGGGUGAAGUCGUAACAAGGUACC
Molecule: ribosomal RNA, 190 nt
Filed under: uncultured bacterium
Lineage: Bacteria
Description: partial 16S ribosomal RNA
Rfam family: Bacterial small subunit ribosomal RNA
Source: RNAcentral